AGCGAACGCUGGCGGCAGGCUUAACACAUGCAAGUCGAGCGGGCCCUUCGGGGUCAGCGGCAGACGGGUGAGUAACACGUGGGAACGUACCCUUUGGUUCGGAAUAACGCUGGGAAACUAGCGCUAAUACCGGAUACGCCCUUUUGGGGAAAGGCUUGCUGCCGAAGGAUCGGCCCGCGUCUGAUUAGCUAGUUGGUGGGGUAAUGGCCUACCAAGGCGACGAUCAGGAGCUGGUCUGAGAGGAUGAUCAGCCACACUGGGGCUGAGACACGGCCCAGACUCCUACGGGAGGGAGCAGUGGGGAAUAUUGGACAAGGGGGGCAGGUCUGAUCCAGCCAUGCCGCGGGAGUGAUGAAGGCCUUAGGGUUGUAAAGCUCUUUUGUCCGGGACGAUAAUGACGGUACCGGAAGAAUAAGCCCCGGCUAACUUCGUG
This 433-nucleotide ribosomal RNA is filed under the name uncultured bacterium. RNAcentral's name for it is "partial 16S ribosomal RNA". It matches the Rfam family "Bacterial small subunit ribosomal RNA", at positions 29 to 507 of the family's 1533-position model. The record is from RNAcentral.